RNAcentral lists this ribosomal RNA (1631 nucleotides) under human metagenome. Its description in RNAcentral is "bacterial LSU rRNA". It matches the Rfam family "Bacterial large subunit ribosomal RNA", at positions 508 to 2148 of the family's 2925-position model. The record is from RNAcentral.
GGAAAGGUGAAAAGAACCCCGAACAGGGGAGUGAAAUAGAACCUGAAACCAUACGCUUACAACCGGUCGGAGCAGCUUCGUGCUGUGACGGCGUGCCUAUUGAAUAAUGAGCCUACGAGUUACUAAUCACUAGCGAGGUUAAGUGCAAGGAUGCACGGAGCCGAAGCGAAAGCGAGUCUGAACAGGGCGUUUAGUUAGUGGUUGUAGACGCGAAACCUUGCGAUCUACCCUUGAGCAGGUUGAAGGUUGGGUAAAACCAACUGGAGGACCGAACGAAUAAGCGUUGAAAAGCUUCUCGAUGACUUGAGGGUAGGGGUGAAAGGCUAAUCAAGCUGGGAAAUAGCUCGUACUCCCCGAAAUGCCUUUUGGGGCAGCGUUGUAAUAAAGAGUCUACUGGAGGUAGAGCUACUGAUUGGAUGCGGGGGCUUCACCGCCUACCAAAUCCUGACAAACUCCGAAUGCCAGUAGUAUGAUUUACAGCAGUGAGUGACUGGGUGCUAAUGUCCAGUCGCAAAAGAGGAACAACUCAGACCAGCAACUAAGGUCCCGAAGAAUAUGCUAAGUUGAUCUAACGAUGUUUUGUUGCAGAGACAGCUAGGAUGUUAGCUUGGAAGCAGCUAUUCAUUCAAAGAGUGCGUAACAGCUCACUAGUCGAGCGACAGAGCGUGGAUAAUAAACGGGCAUCAAGCAUAUCACCGAAGUUCUGGGCGCGAGAGCGCGGUAGGGGAGCAUUCCAUUCAGCGUCGAAGCAGUUUCGUGAGGAAUUGUGGAGCGUAUGGAAAAGCAAAUGUAGGCAUGAGUAACGAUAAUGCGGGAGAGUAACCCGCACACCGCAAGACCAAGGUUUCCUGAUCAACGCUAAUCGGAUCAGGGUUAGUCGGGUCCUAAGGGUAAGCCGAACGGCGAUCUCGAUGGAUAAUCGGUUAAUAUUCCGAUACUAACAUAUACCUCGAUGGAGAGACGAAGGAACGUAAGUGCCGCCACCUGACGGAAUAGGUGGUUAAAGGGCGUAGGUAUAGGGGCAGAUUAAGAGUUAGUCCUUGCUGAAACCUGACAGUACAGAGAGCCUACGGGCAAUUUGAUAGAGCACCCAAGUCGACUUCCGAGAAAAUCUUCUAAGUUAUAGUAUAUGUUACCCGUACCGUAAACCGACACAGGUGGUCGAGGAGAGUAUCCUAAGGUGCUCGAGUGAAUCACGGUUAAGGAACUAGGCAAAUUAACCCCGUAACUUCGGGAAAAGGGGUCCCUAUGAAAGUAGGGCGCAGCGAAGAGGUCCAGGCGACUGUUUAUCAAAAACACAGGGCUCUGCAAAUUCGAAAGAAGACGUAUAGGGCCUGACACCUGCCCGGUGCUGGAAGGUUAAGAGGGGAUGUCAUCGCAAGAGAAGCAUUGAAUCGAAGCCCCAGUAAACGGCGGCCGUAACUAUAACGGUCCUAAGGUAGCGAAAUUCCUUGUCGGGUAAGUUCCGACCUGCACGAAUGGUGUAACGAUCUGGACACUGUCUCAACCGUGAGCUCGGUGAAAUUGUAGUCCCGGUGAUGAUGCCGGGUACCCGCAACGGGACGAAAAGACCCCGUGAACCUUUACUAUAGCUUAACGCUGAAUUUGGGUACACAAUGUGUAGGAUAGGC